RNAcentral lists this transfer RNA (86 nucleotides) under Bacillota bacterium. RNAcentral describes it as "tRNA-Leu". It matches the Rfam family "tRNA". Rfam says of the family: Transfer RNA (tRNA) molecules are approximately 80 nucleotides in length. Their secondary structure includes four short double-helical elements and three loops (D, anti-codon, and T loops). Lineage: Bacteria; Bacillati; Bacillota. The record is from RNAcentral.
GCCGAAGUGGCGGAAUUGGCAGACGCACUUGACUCAAAAUCAAGCGCCCUCUGGGUGUGGGAGUUCGAGUCUCCCCUUCGGCACCA